UGGGCAACCUGCCCUCAGCUCUGGGAUAACUCCGGGAAACCGGGCUAAUACCGGAUACGACCUUCCCUCGCAUGGGGGUUGGUGGAAAGUUCUUCGGCUGAGGAUGGGCCCGCGGCCUAUCAGCUUGUUGGUGGGGUGAUGGCCUACCAAGGCGACGACGGGUAGCCGGCCUGAGAGGGCGACCGGCCACACUGGGACUGAGACACGGCCCAGACCUCCGUACGGGAGGCA
RNAcentral lists this ribosomal RNA (231 nucleotides) under uncultured bacterium. RNAcentral's name for it is "partial 16S ribosomal RNA". It matches the Rfam family "Bacterial small subunit ribosomal RNA", at positions 118 to 350 of the family's 1533-position model. The record is from RNAcentral.